Molecule: ribosomal RNA, 468 nt
Filed under: uncultured bacterium
Lineage: Bacteria
Description: partial 16S ribosomal RNA
Rfam family: Bacterial small subunit ribosomal RNA
Source: RNAcentral
GACGAACGCUGGCGGCGUGCUUAACACAUGCAAGUCGAACGGAAAGGCCCUGCUUUUGUGGGGUGCUCGAGUGGCGAACGGGUGAGUAACACGUGAGUAACCUGCCCUUGACUUUGGGAUAACUUCAGGAAACUGGGGCUAAUACCGGAUAGGAGCUCCUGCUGCAUGGUGGGGGUUGGAAAGUUUCGGCGGUUGGGGAUGGACUCGCGGCUUAUCAGCUUGUUGGCGGGGUAGUGGCUUACCAAGGCUUUGACGGGUAGCCGGCCUGAGAGGGUGACCGGCCACAUUGGGACUGAGCUACGGCCCGCACUCCUACGGGAGGCAGCAGUGGGGGAUAUUGCCCAAUCGGCGGAAGCCUGAUGCAGCAACGCCGCGUGCGGGAUGACGGCCUUCGGGUUGUAAACCGCUUUCGCCUGUGACGAAGCGUCAGUGACGGUAAUGGAUAAAGAAGCACCGGCUAACUACGUG